RNAcentral lists this ribosomal RNA (852 nucleotides) under Saccharomyces uvarum. RNAcentral describes it as "eukaryotic LSU rRNA". The stretch from base 371 to 524 matches the Rfam family "5.8S ribosomal RNA". The record is from RNAcentral. Lineage: Eukaryota; Fungi; Ascomycota; Saccharomycetes; Saccharomycetales; Saccharomycetaceae.
AGAAUCAUUAAAGAAAUUUAAUAAUUUUGAUAUUGGAUUUUUUUGUUUUGGCAAGAGCGUGAGAGCUUUUACUGGGCAAGAAGACAAGAGAUGGAGAGUCCAGCCGGGCCUGCGCUUAAGUGCGCGGUCUUGCUAGGCUUGCAAAUUUCUUUCUUGCUAUUCCAAACAGUGAGACUUCUCUGUUUUUGUUAUAGGACAAUUAAAACCGUUUCAAUACAACACACUGUGGAGUUUUUAUACUUUUGCAACUUUUUCUUUGGGCUUCGAGCAAUCGAGCCCAGAGGUAACAAACACAAACAAUUUUAUUUAUUCAUUAAAUUUUUGUCAAAAACAAGAAUUUUCGUAACUGGAAAUUUUAAAAAUAAUUAAAAACUUUCAACAACGGAUCUCUUGGUUCUCGCAUCGAUGAAGAACGCAGCGAAAUGCGAUACGUAAUGUGAAUUGCAGAAUUCCGUGAAUCAUCGAAUCUUUGAACGCACAUUGCGCCCCUUGGUAUUCCAGGGGGCAUGCCUGUUUGAGCGUCAUUUCCUUCUCAAACAUUCUGUUUGGUAGUGAGUGAUACUCUCUGGAGUUAACUUGAAAUUGCUGGCCUUUUCAUUGGAUGUUUUUUUUCCAAAGAGAGGUUUCUCUGCGUGCUUGAGGUAUAAUGCAAGUACGGUCGUUUUAGGUUUUACCAACUGCGGCUAAUCUUUUUUGUACUGAGCGUAUUGAAACGUUAUCGAUAAGAAGAGAGCGUCUAGGCGAACAAUGUUCUUAAAGUUUGACCUCAAAUCAGGUAGGAGUACCCGCUGAACUUAAAGCAUAUCAAUAAGCGGAGGAAAAGAAACCAACCCGGGAUUGCNUUAUAACGGC